This is an RNA transcript of Arachis duranensis, 1411 nucleotides long. RefSeq lists it as uncharacterized. Lineage: Eukaryota; Viridiplantae; Streptophyta; Magnoliopsida; Fabales; Fabaceae. The transcript is spliced from 7 exons. The record is from RefSeq and is a predicted model, not a curated record.
UUGAGUCUUUCUCUGGUUCUUCCUGAUUCAACCUUUUUCCAUCUUCUCUGGUUCCCUCCUAAUUCCAAUUUUCUCGUUCAAAUUCCCUUCACUCGCAGCUCAACAACACUUCCCUGUCACUCAAUUUCAACCCUUCACAGGAAACAAUCUCUUCAUUUGUUCCCUCGCCGGAACCCUAGCUUCUGCCAAUGGCAUCCAAGAAGAAGCAAUCUGAAGGUAUAGCCUUAUUGUCCAUGUACAACGACGACGGAGACGACGAUAUGGAGGACGCCGAAGAAGAUGAAGAAGAUAACCAAGAGAUAGAUAUGCGCCACGAGCAGAAUGAGGACGCCGCCACCGGAGGAUUCGCUGCGGAGGUAAAUUUGACUGCCACCGACGCGGAUAGAAUGGCAGGUUUGGAAGUAACGAUGGAGUUGCGGACGAGGUGUCCACACCGGCGGAGGAGCGCAGGUUUGGAACUUCAACGCCGCAGCGUGUUAACACAAACAUGGUAAUUUCGCCGCCGCAAGAUCAACGAGGGGUGAGAGGAAAGCUUACUAUAGUGGACUAUGGUCAUGACGAAGUUGCAAUGUCUCCUGAGCCUGAGGAAGGACAGAUAGGAGGUAGUGUUCGAGUCAUGUAUGGGGACCAGCUUAAUUUGACCAAUGGUGAUUUGCUAGAUAGAACACCAUCUGGAGCAGUCCACGUUAUGACACCUAGCAAUCAAGCAAACACUCCUCAAUUAUCUGAGCAGUUGAAAUCUGAUACAAUGAAUGAUGAUGCCAUGAUUGGACCUGAUGAUGCAGAACCUGUAGAAGCAGGUCAAGAUGAGCAAAAAGCUGAAGACCCAUUGAAUAAAUUUCUCCCUCCUCCACCAAAAGCAAAAUGCUCAGAGGAACUGCAAGUAAGUUUUGUUACAGCAUUUGAAUAUUAUCAACAGUUGAAUACCAUUUUAAUAGAUUGUAAAGUAGCAUUCAAUAAGUUAAGUAAACCACUUAGCUUGUCUUCUGCGCUGCAAAUACUGGUUUUUCUAUUUUUUAACUUCUAUUUGUUUCUUGGUGCCUUAAAUGAACAAACAGAGGCUGAUAUGAGGCGUGAAAGUGAAAGGAAAGAACAUGAGAAGAAGAAAGCACAGAAGAUGGAAUUUAUCGCUGGGGGAACACAACCGGGAAUCGUAGCAGCAGGUGCUCCCAGAAUCAGCUUGCCUGUUGCAGGUGGUUCUGCUGUGGCUGCAAGUGGUUUGGUGCCACCUAUAGCUGACUCUAUUAAUCGGGAUGGUAGACAGAACAAAAAAUCAAAAUGGGAUAAGGUGGAUGGUGAUCGAAAAAAUCCUCUGCCCUCUGUGGGGCAGGAUUCUGUAUCUACUGUUGGGACUCAUGCAGCAAUUCUAUCUACUGUUAAUGCUGGCAGUGGGUACAUGCUAUUUGUGUAA